This 348-nucleotide RNase P RNA is filed under the name bovine gut metagenome. Its description in RNAcentral is "Bacterial RNase P class A". It matches the Rfam family "Bacterial RNase P class A". From Rfam's summary of the family: Ribonuclease P (RNase P) is a ubiquitous endoribonuclease, found in archaea, bacteria and eukarya as well as chloroplasts and mitochondria. Its best characterised activity is the generation of mature 5'-ends of tRNAs by cleaving the 5'-leader elements of precursor-tRNAs. Cellular RNase Ps are ribonucleoproteins. The record is from RNAcentral.
GCAGGUCAAACGACCGCGGGCACAAAGCGAAAGCUUGUGAAUGAGGAAAGUCCGGGCUCCACAGGGCAAGGAUAACGGGUAACACCCGCCAGGGGCAACCCUCGGACAAGUGCAACAGAGAUAUACCGCAGCCUCCGCUUGUCGGGGUGCUGUAAGGGUGGAAAGGCGAGGUAAGAGCUCACCCGUCCCAUGGAGACAUGGCGACGCUGUAAACUCUAUCCGGAGCAACACCGUGGAGGGACACGCAGGCCGGCCCGGUCGUCCCGAGGAGGUGGCUUGAGCCCAGGGGCAACCCUGGGUCUAGAUAGAUGGUCGUUCUCGACAGAACCCGGCUUAUCGAUCUGCUCA